RNAcentral lists this ribosomal RNA (886 nucleotides) under uncultured bacterium. Its description in RNAcentral is "bacterial SSU rRNA". It matches the Rfam family "Bacterial small subunit ribosomal RNA", at positions 607 to 1504 of the family's 1533-position model. The record is from RNAcentral.
GCUUAACUCUGGAACUGCCAUUAAAACUUUUCAGCUAGAGUAUGAUAGAGGAAAGCAGAAUUUCUAGUGUAGAGGUGAAAUUCGUAGAUAUUAGAAAGAAUACCAAUUGCGAAGGCAGCUUUCUGGAUCAUUACUGACACUGAGGAACGAAAGCAUGGGUAGCGAAGAGGAUUAGAUACCCUCGUAGUCCAUGCCGUAAACGAUGUGUGUUAGACGUUGGAAAUUUAUUUUCAGUGUCGCAGCGAAAGCGAUAAACACACCGCCUGGGGAGUACGACCGCAAGGUUAAAACUCAAAUGAAUUGACGGGGACCCGCACAAGUAGUGGAGCAUGUGGUUUAAUUCGAAGAUACGCGCAGAACCUUACCAACACUUGACAUGUUCGUCGCGACUCUAAGAGAUUAGAGUUUUCGGUUCGGCCGGACGAAACACAGGUGCUGCAUGGCUGUCGUCAGCUCGUGUCGUGAGAUGUUGGGUUAAGUCCCGCAACGAGCGCAACCCUCACUUUUAGUUGCCAUCAUUAAGUUGGGCACUCUGAAAGAACUGCCAGUGAUAAGCUGGAGGAAGGUGGGGAUGACGUCAAGUCCUCAUGGCCCUUACGUGUUGGGCUACACACGUGCUACAAUGGUAUCUACAACAGGAAGCAAGACUGCGAGGUCAAGCAAAUCCCUAAAAGAUACCUCAGUUCGGAUUGCACUCUGCAACUCGAGUGCAUGAAGCUGGAAUUACUAGUAAUCGUGGAUCAGCGUGCCACGGUGAAUGCGUUCCCGGGUCUUGUACACACCGCCCGUCACACCAUGGGAGUUGGUUCUACCUUAAGGCAAGGUUUCAAACCCUUGACCACGGUAUAGUCAGCGACUGGGGUGAAGUCGUAACAAGGUAACCGUA